UAUAUGUUUUUUAAUUGGUUAGUCAUGCAACAUUAUUUAUAGCAGUUAUCCUGUUGAGGUUUUGCAUUAUUGGCCAGGUAAUGUGCGCUGUAGGCUAUUAGCUUCGGGAUAGUGACGAGCUAGCUAACAGCCGUCACGAUCGAGUCACGCUUCAUUUAAACUUUUAGCUAGCUUAAGGGCCAUUAGUCACAUAAGUAUGAAUUUUUAUUUAGAAGUGAAACACUAAUUAAACACUUACUUUAAAAGUCCUAAAUUGAAGAUUGUCAGCUAAGAUUUGACUUAAUAAGAAUACUUAACUGUCAACAUUGUCAGCCAAUAACAUUGUACAGUGAAAAUCAGUUUAGUGGCUGUAAAUGGCAGCAAAAUUUAACAUGUUAAAAUGUACAGACUAAACUAAUGAAAAAGCAGGGGGAAACAAUACAAAAAACUGUAAAAACAGCACAAAAAUUGACAGUAAAAUACAGUAUUUGAUUAUGUAAGCCACAUAGUUUUGUUUCUAGGCAUUAAAUUCUGUCUUGCUACUAUUUCUUACUAAUAGAAAAUGAGUCUACACUUAAGACUGCUGAGAAGAAACUCUUGCAAGAGGACCUACCAAAAAGCAAGAAGAGAAAGAGGGAACCCAACAAACUUUACCUUGACACACAGGAGGUAGAACAAGUUGCAAAAAAGAAAUUCCAUCAAUCUUAGCAGCUGUGAGGACCCUCAUUUCAGACGAGAUCACAGAGAGCUCAAGCAAUGGAGAUGAAACCGAAUAUGACGCCAGUGUUGCUCUACCAUCAACUCGUCAACCCACAUCUCCCAAACCAACAUCAGGAAUGAUGACUCCACCAGAGUGUCUGCCCAUUGUUGUGAGACUGCAAAAGCACAACCUACAGCGAAAGAAAUGGCCUGCACCCUCCUGCUGGGCCUGUUCAGCAUUGAUAUCCUACUGAAGUCCAACCUGACAGGAGGGGUCAACAAGGUCGAUCCAUCUGCAGAGAGACACCAGCAACUGAAGGACUGAGUGGGUCUUGAUAAGUUAGCAUGCGGGAUCCAUAACACUGCACUAAAGGAUUGUCCUGUUUUUGUUGCACUGAAGACUGUUUUAUUUUAUUACAAUGAAGAACAGUUGUCCUUUAGGAAAUGUUUUAUUAAUUCUUUUAAGUAUUUAUGUUCAUUUAUAGUUAUUGUCAUCUAUUGGAUCACAUAAAAAUAUCACAUGUUUAAAAGAAGAAGAAAAAAGAUUUUAUAGCCUUGAACUAAUUAUGAUAUGGCAUAUAUGGCACAUCCCUACCAGCAAACCAGCCGUUUGCUGAGCACAUUAUGUACAUUAUGUGCACAUAAGAUUCAGAUGGAACCAUGGUGACAUGCCUUUCAUUCUGUUUGUUCUCAGGUCACUGUCCCUUCAGCUGCUUCUUUUGAAAUAAACCUCAUUCAGUUACUGUGAACUAUA
This is a long non-coding RNA of Tachysurus fulvidraco (yellow catfish), 1432 nucleotides long. RefSeq lists it as uncharacterized. The transcript is spliced from 3 exons. The record is from RefSeq and is a predicted model, not a curated record. Lineage: Eukaryota; Metazoa; Chordata; Actinopteri; Siluriformes; Bagridae.